UAGCCUUUAAUACUUGGACUUUUGAGGACA
RNAcentral lists this non-coding RNA (30 nucleotides) under Mus musculus (house mouse). The record is from RNAcentral. Lineage: Eukaryota; Metazoa; Chordata; Mammalia; Rodentia; Muridae.